UUUCCGUAGGUGAACCUGCGGAAGGAUCAUUAUUGAAUAAACCUGCUGUGGUUGUAGCUGGCACUUUCGGGAGCCUGUGCACACCCGUCGUCUUUAUCUUUCCACCUGUGCACCUUUUGUAGACCUGGAUGUAACACUUUCCGAGGCAACUCGGUCGGGAGGAAUGCUGUCAGCUUUCCUUGACUGUCCAGGCCUAUGUUUUCAUAUACCCCAAAGAAUGUAACAGAAUGUAUUAUUGGGCCUUGUGCCUAUAAACUAUAUACAACUUUCAGCAACGGAUCUCUUGGCUCUC
Molecule: unclassified non-coding RNA, 292 nt
Filed under: plant metagenome
Description: partial contains small subunit ribosomal RNA, internal transcribed spacer 1, and 5.8S ribosomal RNA
Source: RNAcentral